AAUUAAGAGCACUAAAGAUUUAAAGUGCCCACACAGUUUGUUUUCGAGAUAAUGAAGAAUCCAACCGCAGCUGAGAAGAGGCGGAAAAGAUAUUCGAUCACGAUAUUGUUGUUGAUGUAAAUGAGAUGUUGUUGUAGAGCCUCUCAAUAAACGCGAUGCUAAGUCGCAAGUCAAAAAAGCAAAGUGCAUCGAAGCAUUUUUGCAAGGUUUUUUGUUUUAAUCGAAGUGCAGGAGCAGCAAAAGUAGAAGCAUACAUUCGUAUGUGACUAAAUGAGCAAGUACGUGCAGAGUAAAAUAAAAAAUCGAAGUAAAAAUGGGUCUGUAGAUCAGUUGGUUAGAUCGCACCCCUGAUAAGGGUGAGGUCGGUGGUUCAAGUCCACCCAGACCCACCAAUCCUACGGAAUUCUUCAGAGGCUUAUCCAGAUUAAAGUGCUUUUGUUUUGAGGGUAUUUUCAUCUGGAGUAACCAGAGGUUCAUUAAAAAUUAGGGUAAAUGAAGAGGUAACACAAGCGUACUUGUAUUGAAGCAGUAUGGACAUAUAGUUUGAGGUAAUUGAGAUUAUAU
Molecule: unclassified non-coding RNA, 564 nt
Filed under: Legionella bozemanae
Lineage: Bacteria; Pseudomonadati; Pseudomonadota; Gammaproteobacteria; Legionellales; Legionellaceae
Description: Fluoribacter bozemanae partial 16S-23S ribosomal RNA intergenic spacer
Rfam family: tRNA (bases 316-389)
Source: RNAcentral